RNAcentral lists this non-coding RNA (88 nucleotides) under bovine gut metagenome. RNAcentral's name for it is "Glycine riboswitch". It matches the Rfam family "Glycine riboswitch aptamer", at positions 7 to 88 of the family's 94-position model. Rfam says of the family: This family represents the bacterial glycine riboswitch. RNAcentral also lists the same sequence under 1 other name. The record is from RNAcentral.
ACGCUCUGGAGAAGCCCGGGUCUCACCGGGUGCCGAAGGUGCAAGGCCGGUUUCCCGGCUAAUCUCUCAGGCAAAAGGACAGAGUGAG